RNAcentral lists this ribosomal RNA (478 nucleotides) under uncultured bacterium. Its description in RNAcentral is "partial 16S ribosomal RNA". It matches the Rfam family "Bacterial small subunit ribosomal RNA", at positions 28 to 523 of the family's 1533-position model. The record is from RNAcentral.
GACGAACGCUGGCGGCGUGCUUAACACAUGCAAGUCGAACGGUAAGGCCCUUCGGGGUACACGAGUGGCGAACGGGUGAGUAACACGUGGGUGAUCUGCCCUGCACUUCGGGAUAAGCCUGGGAAACUGGGUCUAAUACCGGAUAGGACCACUGCCUGCAUGGGCGGUGGUGGAAAGCUUUUGCGGUGUGGGAUGGGCCCGCGGCCUAUCAGCUUGUUGGUGGGGGGAUGGCCUACCAAGGCGACGACGGGUAGCCGGCCUGAGAGGGUGACCGGCCACACUGGGACUGAGAUACGGCCCAGACUCCUACGGGAGGCAGCAGUGGGGAAUAUUGCACAAUGGGCGCAAGCCUGAUGCAGCGACGCCGCGUGAGGGAUGACGGCCUUCGGGUUGUAAACCUCUUUCAGCACCGACGAAGCGCAAGUGACGGUAGGUGCAGAAGAAGGACCGGCCAACUACGUGCCAGCAGCCGCCGUAA